This 360-nucleotide ribosomal RNA is filed under the name uncultured bacterium. RNAcentral's name for it is "partial 16S ribosomal RNA". It matches the Rfam family "Bacterial small subunit ribosomal RNA", at positions 338 to 696 of the family's 1533-position model. The record is from RNAcentral.
CCUACGGGAGGCAGCAGUGAGGAAUAUUGGUCAAUGGCCGCGAGGCUGAACCAGCCAAGUCGCGUGAAGGACGACGGUGCUAUGAGUUGUAAACUUCUUUUGUCAGGGGGCAAACGCAGGCACGCGUGCCUGACCGAGAGUACCGUAAGAAAAAGCAUCGGCUAACUCCGUGCCAGCAGCCGCGGUAAUACGGAGGAUUCGAGCGUUAUCCGGAUUUAUUGGGUUUAAAGGGUGCGUAGGCGGACGGUUAAGUAAGAGGGAAAACCCCGGGGCUCAACCCCGGAGAGCCUUUGAAACUGGGCGUCUUGAGAGUUCUAGAGGUAGGCGGAAUGUGUGGUGUAGCGGUGAAAUGCUUAGAGA